RNAcentral lists this ribosomal RNA (699 nucleotides) under uncultured bacterium. RNAcentral's name for it is "bacterial SSU rRNA". It matches the Rfam family "Bacterial small subunit ribosomal RNA", at positions 8 to 731 of the family's 1533-position model. The record is from RNAcentral.
AGAGUUUGAUCCUGGCUCAGAACGAACGCUGGCGGCAGGCCUAACACAUGCAAGUCGAGCGCUAAGCUUCCCUUCGGGGGAGUGGAGAGCGGCGGACGGGUGAGUAACGCGUGGGAACAUACCCUUUGGUGGGGGAUAACGGUUGGAAACGACCGCUAAUACCGCAUACGCCCUGGACUUAGGUUUGGGGGAAAGAUUUAUUGCCGAAGGAUUGGCCCGCGUUGGAUUAGCUAGUUGGUAGGGUAACGGCCUACCAAGGCAACGAUCUAUAGCUGGUCUGAGAGGAUGAUCAGCCACACUGGGACUGAGACACGGCCCAGACUCCUGCGGGAGGCAGCAGUGGGGAAUAUUGGACAAUGGGCGCAAGCCUGAUCCAGCCAUGCCGCGUGAGUGAAGAAGGCCUUAGGGUUGUAAAACUCUUUCACCGGUGAAGAUAAUGACGGUAACCGGAGAAGAAGCCCCGGCUAACUCCGUGCCAGCAGCCGCGGUAAUACGGAGGGGGCUAGCGUUGUUCGGAAUCACUGGGCGUAAAGCGCACGUAGGCGGUUUAUCAAGUUGGGCGUGAAAGCCCGGGGCUCAACCCCGGAAUAGCGCCCAAAACUGGUUGACUCGAGUCCGAGAGAGGGUGGUGGAAUUCCCAGUGUAGAGGUGAAAUUCGUAGAUAUUGGGAAGAACACCGGUGGCGAAGGCGGCCACCUG